AUUGAACGCUGGCGGUAGGCCCAACACAUGCAAGUCGAGCGGAUGCAGGGUACUUGCUUCUGCUUUCGGGUGCGGAGGGGCGGACAGUUCCUAGAAACCUGGGUGUUUACUUUUUCUAACGUGCGGACACGGGGACACUUACGCUAAUAGCCCUUAGGAACUACGGGUGGAAGCUGCGGAUCUUCGGAUCUUACACGAUUCUAUGACCGGAGGUCGGAUUAGCUAGUUGGCGGGGUAAAGGCCCACCAAGGCGACGAUCCGUAGCUGGUCUGAGAGGAUGAUCAGUCACACUGGAACUGAGACACGGUCCAGACUCCUACGGGAGGCAGCAGUGGGGAAUAUUGGACAAUGGGCGCAAGCCUGAUCCAGCCAUACCGCGUGGGUGAAGAAGGUCUUCGGGUUGUAAAGCCCUUUUGGUGGGAAAGAAAAGCAGCAAGUUAAUACCUCGCUGUUCUGACGUUACCAAAAGAAUAAGCACCGGCUAACUUCGUG
RNAcentral lists this ribosomal RNA (492 nucleotides) under uncultured bacterium. RNAcentral describes it as "partial 16S ribosomal RNA". It matches the Rfam family "Bacterial small subunit ribosomal RNA", at positions 30 to 507 of the family's 1533-position model. The record is from RNAcentral.